CGUGGAGACAGGUGGUGCAUGGCUGUCGUCAGCUCGUGUCGUGAGAUGUUGGGUUAAGUUCCGCAACGAGCGCAACCCUCGCUGAGUGUUGCCACCAGUUCGGCUGGGCACUCACUCGGGACUGCCAGAGUAAUCUGGAGGAAGGUGGGGAUGAUGUCAAGUCCGCAUGCCCCUUACGCCCAGGGCUGCACACAUGCUACAAUGGGGAGUACAAAGGGAUGCAAGACCGCGAGGUGGAGCCGAUCCCACAAAACUACCCCCAGUUCGGAUCGGAGUCUGCAACUCGACUCCGUGAAGUCGGAAUCGCUAGUAACCGCAGGUCAGCACACUGCGGUGAAUACGUUCCCGGGCCUUGUACACACCGCCCGUCAGGCGAUGAGAGUCGGCUGUACUCGAAGUCGCUGAG
Molecule: ribosomal RNA, 406 nt
Filed under: uncultured Methylomirabilota bacterium
Lineage: Bacteria; Methylomirabilota (SeqCode)
Description: bacterial SSU rRNA
Rfam family: Bacterial small subunit ribosomal RNA
Source: RNAcentral